UAAGACAGAGGGGGCAAGCGUUGUCCGGACUGACUGGGCGUAAAGCGCACGCAGGUGGUGCGCCAAGUGGUGUGUGAAAGCGACCGGCUCAACUGGUCGAGGCCAUGCCAAACUGGCGGACUAGAGCGAUGCAGAGGUCGCUGGAAUUGCCGGUGUAGUGGUGAAAUGCGUAGAGAUCGGCAGGAACACCCAGGGCGGAAGCAGGCGACUGGGCAUUGGCUGACACUGAGGUGCGAAAGCGUGGGGAGCGAACUGGAUUAGAUACCCAGGUAGUCCACGCACUAAACGAUGGACGCUCGGCAUUUGGGGGUUUAACGCCCCUGGGUGCCCUAGGUAACCCGUGAAGCGUCCCGCCUGGGAACUACGAGCGCAAGCUUA
This 378-nucleotide ribosomal RNA is filed under the name uncultured bacterium. RNAcentral describes it as "bacterial SSU rRNA". It matches the Rfam family "Bacterial small subunit ribosomal RNA", at positions 521 to 896 of the family's 1533-position model. The record is from RNAcentral.